RNAcentral lists this ribosomal RNA (1770 nucleotides) under Triticum aestivum (bread wheat). Its description in RNAcentral is "partial small subunit ribosomal RNA". The record is from RNAcentral. Lineage: Eukaryota; Viridiplantae; Streptophyta; Magnoliopsida; Poales; Poaceae.
AUAGGAUAGCACACGCACGGCCCCCGUGGCAUCUCCUCACUCGCUGCCUGCAGCCUCAUCAAAUCCCCAAUGGCGACGGGUGGCUGAGCAGGGGGGAAAGGCCGAGAGUGUACUCCCCUCCCCAUCCAUGGCUUCCCUCGCCUCCCCUCCCGCCCCCUCCCACUCGCCCACCACCGCCGCUCGCUACCUCCCCGCCCCGGCCGGCCGCGGCAGGCGCCCGGCGCCGCCGGCCGCUUCACCUAUCUUCUCCUCUGCUUCCACCCGAUUCACUCUGUCCCCGCGCGCCCCCUGCGGCGCCGCCCGACCGCGCCGGCGCGACACCGUGCGGGCAUGCUCUCAAGCUGGUGCAGCUGGGCCAGCUCCACUCUCAAAGACGCUAUCAGACCUAAAGGAUUCCUGCUGGAGAUUUUUGAGACCACACACAAUUCGUGGAACUGCUUUGGGAUCCACAGCCUUGGUUGCUAGAGCAUUAUUAGAGAAUCCCCAAUUGAUUGAUUGGCGCUUGGUAUUCAAAGCAUUCUAUGGGCUUGUAGCAUUAAUCUGCGGCAACGGUUACAUUGUUGGGAUUAAUCAGAUCUAUGACAUUGGAAUCGACAAGGUAAACAAACCAUAUUUACCUAUUGCUGCCGGUGAUCUCUCUGUUCAGUCAGCAUGGUUACUGGUCGUAGCAUUCGCAGUGGUGGGCUUCUCAAUUGUCGUUUCAAACUUUGGACCUUUCAUCACCUCUCUUUACUGCCUUGGUCUAUUUCUUGGCACUAUAUAUUCUGUUCCUCCAUUCAGACUGAAGAGAUAUCCAGUUGCUGCUUUUCUUAUCAUUGCAACGGUUCGCGGAUUCCUUCUCAACUUUGGGGUGUACUAUGCUACUAGAGCUGCAUUAGGUCUUACAUUCCAAUGGAGCUCGCCUGUUGCUUUCAUUACAUGCUUUGUGACAGUAUUUGCUCUGGUCAUUGCUAUAACCAAAGAUCUUCCGGAUGUUGAAGGAGACCGCAAAUUCCAAAUAUCAACUUUGGCGACAAAGCUUGGUGUCAGAAAUAUUGCCUUCCUUGGCUCUGGUUUAUUGCUGGCAAAUUAUGUUGCUGCUAUUGUAGUACCUUUUCUUAUUCCUCAGGCUUUCAGGAGCUUUGUAAUGGUGCCUUUUCAUGCUGCUCUUGCAGUUGCUUUAAUUUUUCAGACAUGGGUUCUGGAGCAAGCAAAGUACAGUAAGGAUGCUAUUUCACAGUACUACCGGUUCAUCUGGAACCUCUUCUACGCCGAAUACAUCUUCUUCCCGCUAAUAUAGAGAUAUGGCGUCUGACAUGGGCUACACGAUCGGAGCACGCACCGAAGCAGGGACUUUGUUGGGGCAACAGAAGAGAAACCCUUUGUGGCCUAUAAAGCGUGAGCAAUUUUUGUAUGUACAUACUGUUGACUGGUAGGGGAAUAGAGCGGCGAUGCGACGAGGAUCUUGACGAUGCUAUGGGAGUUCCCAUCGGGUCCUAGCGUUGAGCAGAUAAUGUAUUUACCCAGUAGAAAAAUGACGUGGUUGUCUCUGCCAAACAAAGAGGAAAAUAUAUGAAAGGGAAAAGUAUUGGGCCUUGUUUUGGAGGGUUUGGGUAUAUUUGAAGCAGAGUCGUCUUUUAACAAUGCCUUAGUAGUUGGAGGUUUUUCAGUAAUUUUUCAGUGACACAUGGUUUUCAGGCAGGUUCAAACAGAAUCCGAUUCUUCGUUGACAAGUUUGAGCAAACUGUUUACAAACUGCACUCAGACUGAAAGAAACUGUCGACAAUUCCC